Long non-coding RNA from Camelus dromedarius (Arabian camel), 644 nucleotides. RefSeq lists it as uncharacterized. Lineage: Eukaryota; Metazoa; Chordata; Mammalia; Artiodactyla; Camelidae. The transcript is spliced from 2 exons. The record is from RefSeq and is a predicted model, not a curated record.
GGCCAGCGUGUAUGGGCUUUGGCUGUUUUCCCACAAGCAUCAAAGUCUAGCAGGCAGGUGUUCCUGUUUGUUCAAGUUCAGCUGAAUUCCCCGAGUGAGCUCUACGGGAAUCUCAGUUUUGAUUUCCCCCUCUCACCCUCUUUCCUGCCUUCCCUCCCCUCCCAAAGACAAUGCAGAUGAGAAUCAUAGCUGUAAUAACACUUUGAGUUCUCCAGAGUUCAGUGGUCUCAGACUAGAAUGCAAUGAUGCAUUAGAAUGACCCAUGAAGCUUGUUCAAAGUCCCAAUGCACAGGCCCCACGUUGGACUGAUUCACUGAUUCCGAAUCUCAAGUUUAAGAACCACUGAUUACUCCAUCAUUCAGAAUGGUGAGGAACCACAGCUGGAAUUGAUAGCAACAAACCUGAAGGAAGAAUGUUCAUCAUCUAAAACAAAUAGACUGCCAGAUACUUCUCCAGCAAAGAAGGGUUUACCGGAAAUCAGCAGAGAAUUGCAAUUCUGCACCUGCCACCAUAGGAGGAGGAGAACAUUCUACAGAGAGGAGAUGGAAGUUGGGAGGGCAGGCGUUCUUUCAUUUUUUGAUCUUGGAUAUACAAAGAUUUCUGGUUGUAUCCUUACCAUAAACCUCCCUUUUUACUUACACUAA